Long non-coding RNA from Pezoporus occidentalis (night parrot), 8080 nucleotides. RefSeq lists it as uncharacterized. The transcript is spliced from 13 exons. Lineage: Eukaryota; Metazoa; Chordata; Aves; Psittaciformes; Psittacidae. The record is from RefSeq and is a predicted model, not a curated record.
UUUGUUGUGUGUGUGGUCUCAAAGUGAUUUUGUUGUGCAUGACUUAACACUUAGUCUUGUGAUUUUUGAUCAGAAUUGUGAGAGUAACUAAAAUAUGAUUUGUGGUGACGUGUGAUUUGUGGUGAUGUGUACUGUGUCUCAAAACGUGGCUUGGACUGCCUUUCAGCAUUAGGUCCUCUUCGGAUUUGAGCACUGUGCUUGGGUGGCGAUUGCCAAAAAGCACUGAAGAUUUGAGCACAGAUCGCUGACCCCAGCAGGAGUCUUGCCAUUGACUCAAAUGGCUGAGACUUGGGCUGAGAUCAAGGACUUCUGGAUGUUGUAUUUGGCUUUAAUACGUUGUUUCAGACCUGGCCAUUCUAUUGUGACCCGCACAGACAUUGCUGAGACGAGCACAGGAGAAAAAAAGGCAUUAAUAUCUAUCUUUUCAAUCAAUGCAUAGAAUUCCUCAGAUCCAGCACCACAUCCUUUGGAGGUGGUCAAAUGUUUCAUUCAUGUUCAUUGUGAACAGCAACAAAAAAAGUAAUCUAGCUGAAAUGCAGAGGCCUGGCAGCUAUGUCUGGGUGCGUCUCAGACUAAUCCAUACCUUUCCUUUUUGUGCAUUAUUCUAACAGCAGGUGAUCUGAUGUGUUACCUGAAAAUGCACUUUGAAUUUACAAUUCCUGCUUCCUGGCCCCACUGGAGGUGAGGUAAUCCAUGAAGCCCCAGGAGCUGAAUGAGCAGUGGCUGCCUCUAGACCCGAGUACCAAAUUGCUGAACAGAUUUCUCCUUUGAAAAUGCCACUGUCACUUGAAAAUGCCAUGUGUACAAUGCAGCUGUCUGACUUCUCAGCAUUACAAAGAAACAAGGCCACGUGAAGCCUAUAAACAAGCUUGUCUUCAGUGCCAUUGCUGUAAGGAGGAAGUUUGCAAACUACAGUCUUCCUUGCUUUACUUCUUGAAUUUUCCAGUUGCUGCUGCUGACAAGACAGAGUAGGGCCUGCUCUGACAUGACCAGUGCUAACUCCAGAAAGGGUCCUGGUCAAGAGUUGAAAGUAAGGAAAAGAGAGGAAGGAAACCACAAAGAAAGAAGCAUAUGAAAAGUAAAAAAAAAUACAGACCUGGAGGUAAACCUACACACUCAGAGGUAAUUUGCCUUGAGGAGCAAGAACCCUUGAGACCUAUGUGUAGACUGUGGAAAAAAGAAUCUGUGAACAAUAGUAAAGGCUAUGAACGUGCUAUCCUCUGACAGUGAACUUAGGUCAGUAAUCAUCAUUAAGCUUGUGGGAAAGACUGGGGAAGUGGGAUAAUACCAAAAUUCAUUACUUGCAAAGCCAUGUAGAGAGCAAGAGACUUAAAAGGAGACAACAGAUUUUUUUUGCAUGGCUGAAAUCAUGAGGUUAUGACAAAGGGGUGCAGUGUGGCAUCUGGGCAGCUGCUCCAUCCUCAAUCAAGUGUCCAGCACUAAGAGAUGCCUGAAUACUGUGAAGAAAGAGGUAAGUUGGAGUGUUGUUUACUAAUUCUUCAACUGACAAAGAAAUACUUCAGGCCUCCAGGUUGUUUCAGAAAACAGGCAACAGAUCUACCCUCCAGGUGCAGCAUCAGCAAGGCCAAAGAGAAACCGAAAGUGCUUCCUGUGAUUUUCUUGACAUUAGUCCUUUGCAGAGGUGAGAGAAAUGAGCUUUUCUCUAUGAAUAGGGAAUACAGGCAACUUGAACUCACAAGAAAGGAGUCAUAAAGUAUAUUACUCUAUAUAAAAAAUGGAAGACUUCAGUUUAUGGAAAAGACACUGGUUUUGUGCCUGCUUCAAUGAAAGCUAAAAUACAAAUCUGUUCACUCUCCAUGAAAGAAAAGGUUGUCUCCUGACUGGAAAAUGAAGAGUCAAAGAGACCCAUGGCCUUUCUGCCCUUUACACUGAAAAGAAAAUGAACUGCCUGGUCAUAGGAUGAAUGUUGUCUUGGGUCACCAUCAAGAUCUUGACCUGCCUAACUGAUGUGACACAAGGAAAGAGCAGCAUCAGUUUUAUCCAUGAUCCUGUCAAGAAAAAAAUAAGCCCACAACCAUUUUUCCCGUAAAAGCAUUAAGAAGGGAGGACACUAAUUUGGUGGAUCCCAUUUGCUGUUGGUCCUCUCAGAUUGCAGCCUCAGCUCACACCCCGGCACUCUGCUCCACCUUGAAAGCAUUCUGAAGUUGGGCACCUGAACAAGUUUGAGAGGUGGAUUUUGACUCAAUGUUAUUUUUCACCAGUAUCUGUAAAUAUACUGAAAUAAACACUGAAAGCACAUAAAAGCAGUGGGAGAAGGUGAGAAGCUAAACUCCCAUUUUUUAUUCCAUUUCAACUAGUUUCCCCUUGAGAUGUGGAAAAUCUCUACCUGUGAUGCUUCCUGUGGAAGCUUCCUGUGCACAUUUUUAGGGAGAACUUCUUGCUGGUGGGAUAAACCCUUCCCAAGCUCUUGGCGUCAGCACAGCUCCCCAGUUCCCCCUGGGGCAGCCAGGAACCCUCCUGCCCCUUAUGGUAUGAGGGAUGCCUGUUUCGGUUUGUCACCUCAUCCCUACCACAGCCAGACAGGAGUCAGCAAGGAGCACUGGUGUUCCUGAUGCGCAAUUUCUUCCUCCUCUGUCUUGGAGGGGAAAAAUGCCCUUUUACAUUUAGCCGGUGUCUACCUUCUCUCUCCCUACAGGUGGUAGCAAUCACAGCAUGAUAGAACCUAAAAUGGCUAUUUUCCCCCCAAAAAAUAAAGCCUUAGUUUACUGAAGCAGAGGCUAGUGGGCAUUGAGUUGGAGAAACUGCUUUAUUGGAAGUGUUUGAUGAUGUAGGAAAGUAAAGUGUGAGGGGACAUUGAGGCACUCGAUGCAGUACAGUGGGGAGUGGGUGGGAGGGAUGGAGAAGCCUGUGAGAGGGCUGAGGCACCCCUGGUAUUUUAUGCGAAGCCAUACCGCACUCUGGCUCUGCUUGCUGAUUGAGAUGGAAUUCCAUGUCAAUGAAGCAAGUAGUUCAGAAGCGCAUUUUGGGGAAUUUUUCAGCUAUUGAUGGCCUUUUUUUGUACAAAUCAUCAUUUUUGUACGAACUGAUCACUUGUCAUGUGAGAUCAAACCUCAAAUUUAGGCCCUAGAGAGAUAGAAUAAAGAGCUAAAAAUUUAACAGUUUCCAAAAACAAAUGUUAUUCUUUUGUCUUAGCAUCUUUAACCCCACGUAUGUAAGUGUGUACAAAUGUAUAUACCCAAGGGCAGAAAUACCUCCUGAUGAUAACGUAGUCCCACACAAACCAGGCAGGAAUGUGAAGAUCAAGCGAGUGGGAACAUGUGCCAGUCUGCUCCAGUAACCUACUUAGAUGCAGCUUGGUAACAGCACAAUAAUCUGCCAUCUGAUGCUCUGGAUGCUUUGACCAUGUCCUGGCACUGUGCAGACCUCAGGUAUGGAAAUAUUUUGCCUCUCCUGGCAAAAUCAUAGUACCAUAGAAUGGUUUGGGUUGGAAGAGACCUUAAGAUCAUCUAGUUCCAACCCCCUGCCAUGGGCAGUGACCGUGAUGGGAUAUUUCUUCUCCUCGUCAGUGCAUAAAUUUUAAGUUUACUAUUUGAAGGGUCAUGACCAAGUUUAGUAACUGUAGUUAUUGUAGAACAUGAAGAACACGUACACACCAUUGGGAUUCAUCUCUCCUUCGUUGGCCACCCUACUAACCAGUACUAACCAAAGCUGAGGGUGUUCACACCUUCAUUCCUCCAGGAAAGCACUGUAUUGAAAUAUUUUUUCCCCCAGCUGUAUCAUUUGACCUUAUAAAACAUGUAACCUCUCCAUACACGUGUGCUUGGUCUGAACCAGUAAGUAAUAUGUCAGCAGAAGCAGCCUACCUUGUGCUUGGGUAGGAGCUAAUGGGUUGGCCAUGUUUUUUUCCUGAGUAAUUAGAUGAAAUCCUUUUGCAGCUUGCUUUGCCUAUGGUCUUUUGCUUUUUUUUUCACUGCAGACCUCAAAAGCAAUCCCCUUGGAUGUGGUUAUAUAUAUUUCAGAACACAACAAAUAAAACCACAAUGAGGCUCUUUGUCCAUGUUGAUACUUUCUUCAACCUUUCUACUGAGGAUUUCCAACUGCAUUUGUCAUUGUGUGGAGAGCAACGACCUCAUUUACCUCGAGGCCGAUGCACUCUUGGAAAGUGAAAUAUAUAUGAUAAUAAUGAUGGCGAGGGUGGCAAAUCUGUUGCAUAAGAAAACUUGAUAUAUAAAUGCACCACACAGCUCAGGGUGCAUCUUCAUUUCACCCAUAAGAAGUUUGUGCAAGUGCAGAAAAGUCCAGGUUUUUUCUCCUGCCCCCCAAAGAAACAUAAUCCAGAGUUUAUAUCGGAUGGUUUAUGGGAGUUUAUUGGAAUAUCCAACAGGGUUCAUGCAGUGUGUCAUAAGGUAAAGCCUGUUCAUUGGUGAUUUACAAGCAGUGUGUGCCGGUGUUACUGUAAUUUAUAGACCACAGAUGGUCAGGGGGUGCCCCUGCUGACUUGUAGCUGUAUAAGAAGCUGAGCCCUGUGUAUCAUCUGCUGUGGGUACCUCCAGCUCACUUCCCCAAAUUAGCAUUGAUCAGGAUCUGCCUUCAAACCCAGAGGGUCCUGAGACCUCUGCCUUGCAAGCUGGGGCAAGGUGGGGAAAAAGAAACCCAAGCCUAUCAGAAUGGCACCAAAGGAAAAUUGCUUUUUGCAGUAAUAACUUUCAUUCUCAAGGCUGGUACUUCACUUGAUGGACUUCUGUCCCCGGUUAAAUGGAGAAGGAAGAAUGUCAAUCUCCUUUUCAUGCACUGGCCUAAGACAAACAUUUCCUCUACAAAAAGUUAUAUAUAUGUUCAUAAAUCUCCCUUGUAAUGACUUUUAAGAUAGAUCCUGUCUUUGUUCUUAUUUUACCCUUUUAGGUGAUUGUCUUUAACUGUGUAUUACUAUGACUUUCUUUCCUCAGUUGUUUACCUAAGCCUUUGCUUCUUUAAAUCUUAUGAAAUAACUGUCUCUUUAUUCUGGCACCACUUUCUGAUCCCCGGGGAAAUUUUUCCUGGUGGAUGCACUAGGUAGAGACAGGACAGGGCUGGCAGCACAUUCCACCCAAAUCCAUGGGAGAUUUAUUCCUUUGGCCAGGGGAUUGGGCCCCUUUUGGCUUCUCAUUCCUCUGGUUGACAAGGUUCCUCACGUCACCUCGUAUUUCUCCCAGACGUGUUUUUGUCUUGCUGCGUGUGGCCUUGUCCUGCCCACAGGAAUACUGCGGUGGUCUCUGGCAGCAUCCAGCAGCCUUCGGAGGGACGUGCUGGAUCCAGGGACGCCUGGCGCUUGGCUUGCCCGCCACAGCAAGGUCAUGCAUUUUAACAAGGCACCGCCGAUCCCCCUUUUUAAAGGGCAUUGAUUAUGUUUUGUUAAAAUGGGCUUUGAACUCAUCUGACCCUCCGCCAGUAGGACAUUUCAGGGCUUUUUUCUGCCUUGGACCACACUUGACACCUGUUGGCAAACACAGCUGCAAAUGCCGCUGUGAGAAACCUGCAUCCGAGCUCAAAACUGAGCGGUUUGGUUUUUUUCCCAAGAGUAAAGACCUAAGAGAAUUUGGUGCUUCUUUAGUUAGUAAAAAGAUUUAAAAAAAAAACAAGUUUGUUUUUCCUUAUCAAGAUGAGGUGAAAAAAAACCCACUCUAUAGACAAAAGAAGCAGAAGGAGAGCUGUAAUGGAAAUAAAAUUGACAGCCUCUCAAAACUCAGGUGGCACUUUCCUUUUCCAGUUAAUUACAGUUUUAAUUACAUGGCUUCUUGUGACUCCUUGAUACCUAAUAAACUAGACUCUGUGGGGCGGCAAAGUUGAGUUUUGCUUGAACUGCAGGUGUAAGGCUCAGCAUGAAACAUAAAUCAACUUCUUAAACAUGUUCCCAGGGUGUGUUCAGGCUUUUUCUUCCUAUUCGCUUGUAAAAAUCACAUCUUUUCACCAUUGUUGGGGGAAGAAAAAGAAAAAAGAUUGAAGCUACAAUGCAGUGGGUAUUACCUUUGUGUCUUUGGAUAUAAAAAUCCCUUUUAGUAGGGAAAAAAAAGGCUUUUUUUUAACCUCAGAGCUGAUAAAUUUUAAAGGAGUGAUGCAUUACCCAUAUAGACCCUCUCUCAUUGUCAUUUUUUAGUGGGGGUGCAUAAGAUAGAAGAGGAAAGUACACUGGCGGCAUGAAAAAGAGGGUAGAUUGGUACAUGGAAAAUAAAGAGACAUUCAUCCCAUAGGAGCUGCCUUUUCUGAAGGUUUUGAAAACAGAGAGUGCCUGUUUAUUCUUUGUGUGUUACGCCAUGGAAAUCUGUGCUCCAGUCAGGUUCAAGAGCAGUGCCAUAUAUUAACCGUGAGCAGGAUAACACAACGAUGACCUGUUGCAGCAAAAAGCUGAAGGUAAAUAUGUGUCAGAACUUCUUAUAGGUCUCAAUCCCAGGACAUCUGAUGGGACCAUGAGCCUGCGGCAGGCAGCAAUGUCAUGACCACACAUUGUGACAAUUCAGUGAGGUGAAAGAUCGCCCAUCUUCCUUCUUUCCCAAACCAAAUUAUUAAAAGAAGGAGGAGGGAGGGAGGGAAGGGGAGGAGGAAAAGAGUCAGGAGAGCUUCACAUAGUGCACUUCAGUGUUGGUGCAGAACAUGAGCAGCAAGGUUCAUGUGUGAGACAUGAGUGUAUCAACAAGUCCUUAACCUCUGAGACACAACCUUGGAAAGACGUUUUUAAUGUCUUCUUAUUAGUUUAACUGCUGAAGUACUGGUUUUAUGAGUGCAAAAAAGUGUAUUCGUUAUGAGUGGAGAAAGACAUAUCUGGGACAUAGCCCCCUCGUUAAUGGCUUUCCAUAGCCAGUAAGGUGAAGGUGGGAGAAAUGUCCUGCUUGCCUUUUCAACACAAAUGUUUGGUUUCUGGGUUUCUCCUAUUGCUGAUUACCUGAAGCAGUGCCAUUGUGCUACUCUUUGGCUGGAGCAAGCAUGCUGAAGCCAGAUGAGGGAAUUUUUGCUCCUCCAAGAGCUUUGUGACCUGCUGCCAACUCGCCUUCCCCAUGGUUCAUCCCAGCCUUGGACCCUGUCCUGUGAUCAUUGUUGAGAUCUCGCUAACACCUAUGGCACUCAGGGCCAGCUGAGCUUGACUGUAUCUGCAUACAUUACUUACCUGAACAAGUGCACUUGCAAGGCACAGAUUUCUCUCAGAUCGAUAUUGUGUUAAAUUUCUUGGAUAUAAAUGUCUUGUAUGCUCGUGGGCUGUUUGUGUGCAGUGUUCGGGCAGCUCACAGCAAAAAUGUGGGGAGCUGAUCUGCUGUCUGCAGUUUCUGUGUGGUGUUACGGAUGUUAGAUGAUGAAAAGGAAAACAGAAAACAAGGAUGCUCUUUUUCAAGGCUUCACCCACGACAUUGUGGCACUGUUUGGGGAAAGGCGUGCAACACAGCGCAAUGAAAGCCUGGCAGCGUUGUCUCCCAACCCCAGCAUCCUCUUGGCUUUUGGUGUCUGAGGGUGUGCUGCCCAGGUGCUCCCCAGUGACAACCUCUAUGCCAGGUGCAGGCUAGAAAUUUUCCAUCAGAACCAUCCUGCAGCAAACCCUUGGAUUUCUGGUUAAACAAAAAUCUCCAUUAAAAGCAGGCCACAGAGGAGGAGAACUUUUUGGAAGAUAAGGAAAGCCUAGGGCAGCCCAAAAAAAGCAUCUCUUUUGAAUGCCAAGUAACACCUCUUGCCUGCAGUGCCCAAGCAAAAGCCAUCACUGCUGCCUUCUGCAAAAAGCUGUCUGGUUCUGUGAAGCUAUUGCUCCUCUCUUCAAAUCCUCCCUUCAAAACUUGCCCCUGUUUUGACACCUGUAGCAGAUGAAAUGCAAAAACUGAGGGCAGAUGAAAGCACUUAACAUGCAGCUUCUCUGUGUCUAUCUAUACCCAUGCUGUAUAAUGUAUACUGGCACUUUCAUGUUGCCUGGUCCACACAGAUGUCAUCAUGACAUAGGCUUUUGUGACAGCCACGGUCCUGGGGACAUCAGUGCCAUGAAGUCCCAGUGUUUUGCAGCCUAAAUGAUGAAACUGGAGCAGGCACACUUUGGACAGACAGCUCAGUGUCUUUUAAUAUCUCUGAAAAUUAACUGUGGAAGCAAAAAAUCCCAACCCUAGAGCCA